This 3084-nucleotide long non-coding RNA is filed under the name Sus scrofa (pig). RNAcentral's name for it is "lncRNA (ENSSSCG00035018847.1)". The record is from RNAcentral. Lineage: Eukaryota; Metazoa; Chordata; Mammalia; Artiodactyla; Suidae.
ACCCGCGGCGACACAGACACCGGGAGCGGCAGAGGCGUGUGACUUCAUAACAGAAAGAGGAAAGAAAAAAAAAAAAAGAGUGACUUCUGACUUGAACCUGCGGUGUGCUUUGAGAGAUCCUCCACCAGGUAAACACAGGACAAAUUUCCUCAGAUUCAUAGACCAUGUUUUUCUGCCCAGACAUCCUAAGACCCAAAUCCAACAUCUUAUUUAAUCCUUGCAACAUCCUAUAAGUUAGGUGUAUUUUAUUAUUUUAUUUCCAUCCUUUUUUUUUUUCUUUUUUUUGGCCACCCUGUGGCAUGGAGUUCCCAGACCAGGGAUCAGAUCCCAGCCAUAGCUGCACCCUAAGCUGCAACUGUGGCAGCACCAGAUCCUUAACCCACUGUGCUGGGCAGGGGAUCAAACCUGCAUCCCAGCACCCUCAAGACAACACGGCUCCUAUUGUGUCACAGCAGGAACUCCUUAUUUCCGUCUUACACAUGAGGAAAUUGAGAACAGAAAAGUUAGGCAACUUGAUCAACAUGUGCAAAGAUGUUCAUUGCAGAAUAAAUUAUAAUUGCCAAAUAAAACAAAACAAAGAGGAGAGGAUCUAAAUAUCUAAUAGUAGGCACAUUUUGUUAAAUCAAGAUUAAGAAGUUUCUCUUUGGGAGUUCCUGUUGUGGCAUGGUGGAAACAAGUCUAGUAUCCAUGAGGACUCGGGUUUGAUCCCUGGCCUUGCUCAGAGGGUCAGUGAUCCGGUGUUGCAAUGAGCUGUGGCGCAAGUUGCAGACUCAUGAAUCUGGCAGCAUUGCUGUGGCUGGGGUGUAGGCUGGCAGCUGCAGCUCCGAUUUGACCCCUAGCCUGGGAACUUACAUACGCCACGUAUGCAGCCCUAAAAAAAAAAGUUUCUCUUCUAUUCCUAGUUUGCUAAAAGUAAGUUAGCCUGGAUGGUGAAUUUUACGGAAUUUUCUAAUCUACUGAGAUGAUGAAAUAAUUUUUAUUCUUCAUCUUUUCCUGGUAACUUAUAUUAAUUGAUUUUCUAAUGUUAAAUUAUCUUGCAUUGCUGUGAUAAAAACCAACUUGACCAUGAAGCAUUAGCCUUUCUGUAUAUAGCUAAGAUUUAGUUUUAGACCUGAGAUUGGAUAAAAUAUUCCUCUCUGCUAUUUUCCUCGUCAAGAAUGAUGUUCAAAAUAUUGGAAUUACUUGCUCCUUGAAUGUAUGGUGGAAUAGGAAAAAAAAACAGUUGACAUCUGUUGUUUUCUUCGAGGGAAGAACUCUUACCUGCUGAUUUAAUUUCUGAUUUAGUUAGGUUUUCUAAUUUCUUCUUGAGUCAGUUUUGGAAAGUUUUAUUUUUGCUUUUAUAUAUAAACAUACAUUUCUGUUGGAUAUGUAUACAGCAAGGGAAUUUUUGGGUCAUGGGGUAGGUAUAUGUUCCGCUUUAAGAGAUACUAGCAAAUUGUUUUCUCCCUGUAUUAAUUUAAAAAUGUACAUGCCAACCAGGAGUGUAUGAGAGUUCUGAUCUCUCUGUAUCCUUUCCAAUACAAAGUAUUUUCUGUUUUGUCUGUUCUUUUGAUUUUUCAUUGAGACUCUACUGGUGGGUGUGAAGUAGUAUCACUGAAGUUUUAAUUUCUAUUUCCCAGCAGACUAAAGAAAUUGGGUACUUUUUCAUAUGCUAAUUGACCAUUUGAAUAUCUUUGUGAAAAGCCCUUGCAAGUUUUUAACAACCACAAAAAACAAGUGAAAUGCUUAUUCAGGUCUUUUGGAAAAAAAAUUGGGUUGUCUUAUUGAAUGGUCUUUCUUAUUGAAUUAUAGACAUUUUUAAUAAUAUGUAUUCUGGAUUUGAGGCCUUGGUAGAACGUAUAUAUUGUAAAUAUCUACUGUUUUUCCUAUGGUUUACCUUUUCACUCUUUUUAUGAAGAGAAAUUCCUUUAAAUGAUCCAUUCUUUUUCCUUUGUGCUUGGGCGCUAUUUAAGAAAUCUUGGCCUGGUUUCAAGAUCACAAAAACGUUUGAUGUUUGAUAUUUUCUUUUGAAAGCUGUAUCAUUUUUCGUUUCCAUUUUGGGCUGUGAUACAUCUGGCAUUGGUUUUAGUGUGCAUGAUGUGAGGGAGAGGGUCAAGGUUAAUUUUUUUCAUGUUCUUGAUCAACAGCCAUUCUUUUGUUAUAGCACGACUUAUCUAUUUACUUAUUUUGGUUAGGUUUACUGAAGUAUAAGGGACACACAGUAAGAUUCACUCUCUGGUGAAUUCAUGGUUUGAUAAACUUCAGCAAAAAAAUUAGGUACGGUUAGUCAGGUAACCACUACUACAAUCGGGAGGCAGGACAUACCCAACGCCUGAAAGAAUGCUCCUUUGUAGUAAACAACCACUGAUCUGAUUUCUGUCCCUAGGUUUUUCAGAAUAAAUAAAUGGAGUCAUAUAAUAUUUAGCCUUUUGUUACAAAUUUCAUUUUAAAAAAAUCUCAAAAAUUCAUCUGUGUUGUUGCCAGUACUAGUCAUUUGUUCUUUUUUAUUGCUGUGUAGAAUUCCAUUGUAUGGAUAUAUCACCAUUUGCUUAUCCAUUCACCAAUUGAUAAACAUUUGGGUUAUUUAUAAUUUUUGGCUCUUUGACUAAAGCUACUAUGAUUGCUUGUUAAUUGAUCUUCCUUUGGAUACAUGUUUUCAUUUCUAUUGGGUAAAUUAGUAGGAGGAGAAUUAUUGUGUCAUAUGGUAAGUGUAGCAAGUAUAUGAUUAAUGUUUUAUAUAUAUAAAAAUCCCUCCAGCUAUUCCCAUAGUGACUGUGCCAUUUUGCAUUCCAUUCAGCAGUAUGUGAAAUUUUGCUUGUUCCACAAUCUCUCCAGCAUUUGGUAUAAUCAGUCUCUGUUAACUUGAGCAAUUUGAAUUCAUGUAUAGUGUUAUCUUGUUGUAACUUUAAUUCUCAUUUCCUUCUUUGCUCUCUGUAUAUCUCCUUUGGUGAAGUGUCUGUUCAAAUCAGUCAUCCAUUUUAAAAAUUAAGUUAUCUGACUUUAAAUUAUUGAGCUAGAAUAGAAUAUAUUCUGGAUACAAACCUUUUCAUCAAAUGUGUGCUUCGCAAAUAACUUUUCCCAAUCCAUGGCUUGUUUUUCAUACUC